GAUGAAGAACGCAGCGAAAUGCGAUACGUAAUGUGAAUUGCAGAAUUCAGUGAAUCAUCGAGUCUUUGAACGCACAUUGCGCCCCCUGGUAUUCCGGGGGGCAUGCCUGUCCGAGCGUCAUUACAACCCUCAAGCUCAGCUUGGUGUUGGGCCCCGCCGCCCCGGCGGGCCCUAAAGUCAGUGGCGGUGCCGUCCGGCUCCGAGCGUAGUAAUUCUUCUCGCUCUGGAGGCCCGGUCGUGUGCUCGCCAGCAACCCCCAAUUUUUUUCAGGUUGACCUCGGAUCAGGUAGGGAUACCCGCUGAACUUAAGCAUAUCAAUAAGCGGAGGA
Molecule: unclassified non-coding RNA, 329 nt
Filed under: soil metagenome
Description: partial contains 5.8S ribosomal RNA, internal transcribed spacer 2, and large subunit ribosomal RNA
Rfam family: 5.8S ribosomal RNA (bases 1-120)
Source: RNAcentral